Molecule: ribosomal RNA, 1346 nt
Filed under: uncultured bacterium
Lineage: Bacteria
Description: bacterial SSU rRNA
Rfam family: Bacterial small subunit ribosomal RNA
Source: RNAcentral
GACGAACGCUGGCGGCGUGCUUAACACAUGCAAGUCGAACGGAAAGGCCCUGCUUUUGUGGGGUGCUCGAGUGGCGAACGGGUGAGUAACACGUGAGUAACCUGCCCUUGACUUUGGGAUAACUUCAGGAAACUGGGGCUAAUACCGGAUAGGAGCUCCUGCUGCAUGGUGGGGGUUGGAAAGUUUCGGCGGUUGGGGAUGGACUCGCGGCUUAUCAGCUUGUUGGUGGGGUAGUGGCUUACCAAGGCUUUGACGGGUAGCCGGCCUGAGAGGGUGACCGGCCACAUUGGGACUGAGAUACGGCCCAGACUCCUACGGGAGGCAGCAGUGGGGAAUAUUGCACAAUGGGCGGAAGCCUGAUGCAGCAACGCCGCGUGCGGGAUGACGGCCUUCGGGUUGUAAACCGCUUUCGCCUGUGACGAAGCGUGAGUGACGGUAAUGGGUAAAGAAGCACCGGCUAACUACGUGCCAGCAGCCGCGGUGAUACGUAGGGUGCGAGCGUUGUCCGGAUUUAUUGGGCGUAAAGGGCUCGUAGGUGGUUGAUCGCGUCGGAAGUGUAAUCUUGGGGCUUAACCCUGAGCGUGCUUUCGAUACGGGUUGACUUGAGGAAGGUAGGGGAGAAUGGAAUUCCUGGUGGAGCGGUGGAAUGCGCAGAUAUCAGGGGGAACACCAGUGGCGAAGGCGGUUCUCUGGGCCUUUCCUGACGCUGAGGAGCGAAAGCGUGGGGAGCGAACAGGCUUAGAUACCCUGGUAGUCCACGCUGUAAACGGUGGGUACUAGGUGUGGGGUCCAUUCCACGGGUUCCGUGCCGUAGCUAACGCUUUAAGUACCCCGCCUGGGGAGUACGGCCGCAAGGCUAAAACUCAAAGGAAUUGACGGGGCCCCGCACAAGCGGCGGAGCAUGCGGAUUAAUUCGACGCAACGCGUAGAACCUUACCUGGGUUUGACAUGGAUCGGGAGUGCUCAGAGAUGGGUGUGCCUCUUUUGGGGUCGGUUCACAGGUGGUGCAUGCCUGUCGUCAGCUCGUGUCGUGAGAUGUUGGGUUAAGUCCCGCAACGAGCGCAACCCUUGUUCACUGUUGCCAGCACGUUAUGGUGGGGACUCAGUGGAGACCGCCGGGGUCAACUCGGAGGAAGGUGGGGAUGACGUCAAGUCCUCAUGCCCCUUAUGUCCAGGGCUUCACGCAUGCUACAAUGGCUGGUACAGAGAGUGGCGAGCCUGUGAGGGUGAGCGAAUCUCGGAAAGCCGGUCUCAGUUCGGAUUGGGGUCUGCAACUCGACCUCAUGAAGUCGGAGUCGCUAGUAAUAACAGAUCAGCAACGCUGCGGUGAAUACGUUCCCGGGGCC